RNAcentral lists this small RNA (832 nucleotides) under Arabidopsis thaliana (thale cress). RNAcentral's name for it is "ATSL160750". The record is from RNAcentral. Lineage: Eukaryota; Viridiplantae; Streptophyta; Magnoliopsida; Brassicales; Brassicaceae.
AUUACCAGUAUUGCUAACAAUCACCUAUUAAUAUAAGUUUUAACUAACCUCCAUCCGAACACAGAAAUCCGGAACCGGCCAUAUGUACUUCUCGUUGUUGGUGACUGAACCAUUAAAAUGAUUCAUCGUGUGUGAGAUGGUUUCCUAACAUGUAAUCGAAAGAAUACCUCCCCCACUGAAAAUUCAUACAAAACGUGAGAUCACUGACAGUCUUGAGGCAACAUUCAUCCACUUGAGGUGCCUUAUCCCCGGUCUUGAUAGGCGCUAUGAUAAUGCUGCUUAAGAAAUACAAGACCAUCAUCCUCAACCUUUCUUUUGAUCUUUCACAUGACGGUACAAUUCUGAUAUAGGUCAAACUGCCUUAAGACCACUCUCUCAAAUAAGAGAUCGAUUGUAGCACUUAAGGGUCGAAUUCCACAAAGCUCUCGGAUCACACAAUAGACCAAGGUUUUGAAUUAAGCUACGUAAGAUAGUAAUGAAGAUAAAAAUAAAACAAAGGGAAGCAAUAGCAGAUUGUGAGGUUGUAAGACAAGAAAGUAAAAACAUCAAGCUUAGGGUAUUCUCCGGAAACUAUUAGUUAGUAGAUCUAAUAAUAGGUAGGUUGUUAUCGAACCAUUCUUAAACUCAAACUCUAAUUAUGGAAUAACCGGUGGUGUUCCGCGAAACUCCCUAUGCCUGGAGCUAAGAAUAACCGGAUAAGUCGAGAGAUCUUUAACCUAAACAUGCAUUCUAAAGGAGAUCAGUUGUUCACCUUAGUAGAUAGGCCGAUUCUUAUUACACAGCUAUAAACCAGGCUCAUCAAAUAAUAGAUCCAACUACAGAUACCUAUGGU